Molecule: long non-coding RNA, 943 nt
Organism: Tachysurus fulvidraco (yellow catfish)
Lineage: Eukaryota; Metazoa; Chordata; Actinopteri; Siluriformes; Bagridae
Exons: 3
Source: RefSeq, a predicted model, not a curated record
GAAGCCAACAUGGAAAAUGAAUACAGGAAAUGCAGGCAACAGCAUUAUAUCACAGCAUUUCGUAACAGUAGCUAAAAGCAACAGAAGCAAACUAUUUUUUCUGAUGUAGUUUAUAAAUACGAUACAUUUACACCAGAACCACACACUACAGCCUCAGUGUCAUGAUUGUGGUGAGAACAGUCCACCACUUAUUUCUUCAAGUACAGACCUGUUUGACCUAUACGCUAAAUGCAACAAGGUUAUGUACAUAAUAAACUGCUAUUCUAACAUCUGGGUGCUGUGGGUGUUAUCUUUAUUUUACUUGAGCACAGUGCGAUACUUUGCUUCAUUUACACUCAUUGUUUUUAACUUAGUGUAUAAUAUAGCAUUUUUUUUUUAGAUUUGCAGGUCCCUCCUCCUGGCAACCAUCAGACUGUGUAACUGUCCUCAGCUUAUCUGAAUUUGUAAUACCUAUCUGAUGUAAUAUUGCUGAUUACAGGAGCAUCUGAUAUGGAUAGUGCAAGUUUUCAUUCCAACCAAGCAGAAACCACAUCUAAGUCUACUGAAAGGCACAUCUCCCGACUUACGGGUUUCAGUAGAGAGCGAAGCGCUCGAGGAGUCUGCCUUCGCCGUGCCUGUGUCGCUGGCCGUUGCGUCAGGCUGUGCUACGGCUACGGACAGGAGACAUCGGCAGGACGUUGGUGAGGAUGAGGCUGAUGUCAGGGUGGGAAGGUCCGUGGUGGGGGUUGUGUUUGGAGCACUGUCCUGGGCGCAGAGAGAGGAAGAGUCCAUGGCUGGUUGGGAGGACAGGGCCUCCAGUUUUUCUGCUUCAGAUGCUAAACACAUCUAAAAUACAAGCAUCAAUACAUGUGUACACAUCAGCACACACGUCGAUUGGACAGAACAAAAAUCUUUUACAAUAAAGAUGAUUCAAGAACAACUGCACAGAAUAAUAAACAGGUUU